GACCGCACGGCCUAAUGGUUAAGACGUCUAACUUCGGAUCAGGAGACUGAGGGUUCGAGUCCCUCUGUGGUCG
RNAcentral lists this transfer RNA (73 nucleotides) under Ornithorhynchus anatinus (platypus). Its description in RNAcentral is "tRNA-Arg (TCG) (tRNA-Arg-TCG-4-1, tRNA-Arg-TCG-4-2)". It matches the Rfam family "tRNA". Rfam says of the family: Transfer RNA (tRNA) molecules are approximately 80 nucleotides in length. Lineage: Eukaryota; Metazoa; Chordata; Mammalia; Monotremata; Ornithorhynchidae. The record is from Rfam by way of RNAcentral.